This 7750-nucleotide long non-coding RNA is filed under the name Podarcis lilfordi (Lilford's wall lizard). The record is from RNAcentral. Lineage: Eukaryota; Metazoa; Chordata; Lepidosauria; Squamata; Lacertidae.
CCGAUCAAAUCCAAACGAGUACAGCCAGUACAUUUAUCCAGAUCGUCAAAUGUUCAGGCUUGGUUCAUGACAAUCGCUCUUCAUUCUGCCACAAGAUUUAGAUAACAGGAAAAUGUUGAAAUGACACUAGGGACUCAACUACAUUCGUAAAGAAAAAGCAUUUAUAAAUGCAUUAUAACACUGUGACACCAGAUACUGGGAGAGCUCUGUCUUUCAGCAUCGUGAUUUCCCAUUAUGAGGUCUACCACGCAUUUUCCUGAAACCUUUUUUUGAUGUGUCUAGAUCCAGCCUGGAAUUCUGUUUUAGGAAAUCACAGCAAUUGAAAAAAAUAAAUACUCCGUGCUGUUUCUUUUAGGGUAAAAUUUUGCAUGUAAUAUUAAUGUUCAUAGAUUUUAUUUAUUCAAACACAAACUUUAGACUUAGCCACAAAGAACUAUAUCCUGAGAUAAUUACUUCAGCAUUACCUACUGAUUCCUGCAGAGAUUGUAGUUCAGUGUUCAAGUGCAUGCCAAUGGCUAUAAUUUAUUGACAUGUUAUAUCCAUAUCCAAAUGUCUGACCUUGCUUCAGCAAUUUUAUUGAAGAAGGAUAAGUGCUUCUGUUUUACCUAAGAAGACAAAGACAGCACAGCAGUUCAGGAUACAAGUUUCUCUACCAAGUUGUCAUUUUUCACAUCUUUUCUUCAGGCUGAAUAGGAAAAAUAUUUACUUUUCAACAUGAGAGAUAAACCUGACUAGCUUUGAAAUAAUUAAAGGUAAGUGUCAUGGGGGGUGAAUUGUUCUCUUUUUAAAAGGAGGGUUUUCUAAGAUCAGAGGUUACCUCUGAUCCACAGGUAGAUUUGAUCAAAUAUACCAAUAAAGCUAUAUUUAUUGGUAUAUAACUAUACCAAUAAAGGUGGUGAAUUAUCUUCCUCCCCUAUAUGACCUCAGAUUGGUCACUGUAAUGAAAUAGCCACUGCAUAAUCCUUAGCACUUCUGGAAGCACCUCUCAGUGUGGCUUUCAGGUCUUCACCUUUCCUGCCUUUGAAGUUCGGCUCAGAGAAUGUGGCUGUUGAGUUUUGCAGAACCUUUUGUGCCCCUUGAAUAUAUAUCCCAAGUUCUGAUUUUAAAAUCCAAUCAUUUCCCCCCCCGCCGCCAUUCAAGCAGAUCCUUCUUUAAUAUUUUAGUUAAUUUAAUACCAUGUGGUAGCGUGCCUCAAGGCAAUGAAUAUAGUUCUCUCUCUUUUCGCUUUGAUUAAACAUGCUGGCACAGUUUGUUUAAAGCCUGUGUGAUCACAAGACAUAUGUAGCCUUUGAGAGUGAGGCCAUUGGGGUGGUCUCAUCAAGAAACUGGUUUGCGUUCAACUUUAUUUGGCAGGCCAUAGUGGUAGUGUAGGGAAUAGAAACUUUAAGGAAAGCUUAUAAUGUUACAUCAGACUAAUCCACACCAUGGUGGCAUCUGAAGUUGUGAAGACUAUAGGCCUCCUUUUACAGCCUUCAUCUCGAAUGCAAGAAGGCAGGAAAAUGAGUUGUUGUUGUUGUUGUUGUUGUUGUUGUUGUUGUUGUUAUAUCCCACCCAUCUGGCUGGGUUACCCCAGCCACCCUGAGCAGCUUCCAACGCAUAUAAAAUCAUAAUUAAACAUUAAAUAUUAAAAACUUGCUGAUACGGGGUUGCCUUCAGGUGUCUUCUAAAAUUGGCGCAGUUCUUUAUUUCCUUGACAUCUGAUGGAAGGGUGUUCCACGGGGGGGUGCCACUGUUGAGAAGGCCCUAUAUAUGUGUGUACACUGCCAUACUAUGUCAAAUGCACAUAUAUGUGUAUGAAGCAAAGAAUGUCCAGGAUGGGCAUAGAUUUAAGACAGCAUAUAUUUUUGAGAAGCAAGCAACAGCAGAAUGAAACUGGAAUUUGACAUCUCCAUUAAACCAAGCAAACUUGUUGUUUGUUGACUUGGUUGUAAACCUGCUGUUUGUUUCCCAGGUCUUCGAGGUGGAUUUAAAUCUUGUCUCACUAACAAUGUACAUACAAACAAACCUAUACUGUCUGCUGAACCUUGAUCGAGGUUGCACACAUGUUAGACUAGAUAGAUGAUCAAUAGAUUGAUAGAUUGAUGAUGAUUAGAUAGAUGAUAGAUAGAUAGAUGAUAGAUAGAUAGAUAGAUAGAUAGAUAGAUAGAUGAUAGAUAGAUAGAUGGAUGAUAGAGAUGAUCACAGUAGCAUAGCGUGGGUUGCCAGUGCCCAGGGCCACACAGAGGGUAGGUGGGUGGAUGAGUGAUAAUUGGAUGGAUUAGGCAUGUGCAUUCAGCUGCCUAAGGCAUUCGCGGCACCCAUGAGAUUGCAGCCACAAACAUAAGAAAAUAAGAGUCAUUCUGUAGUCUAGAGAGGUCACUUCCUAGUUUGCAUGGAGGAACCAUUUUCAGUAAAGCCCAGUGACAGAAGUGUGUAGCUAUAUUGAGGCAGCAACGGGUGUUGAAAUGCUGCAACCCUAACAAAUGUUGUGCCCUGUGGCCCCUCUCAUGCAACGCCACUGGAUGAUCAAUAGAAUAAAUAAAUAAAUUUUAUAUUUACAGUGGUACCUCGGGUUACAUACGCUUCAGGUUACAUACGCUUCAGGUUACAGACUCCGCUAACCCAGAAAUAGUGCUUCAGGUUAAGAACUUUGCUUCAGGAUGAGAAAAGAAAUCGUGCUCCGGCGGCGCGGCGGCAGUGGGAGGCCACAUUAGCUAAAGUGGUGCUUCAGGUUAAGAACAGUUUCAGGUUAAGUACAGACCUCCAGAACGAAUUAAGUACUUAACCUGAGGUACCACUGUAUUGCCCUGCCAAGAGCCUAGAAUGUAGACCUGCAGUGAGAUUUUGUCUAUUCCCAAGAGGAAAGUCUGAAUGCUGAUCUAGUUAAUUCACUGUGAUUGAUUACAACACAUCUACCAUUCAGAGAUAUUAGCCCCCAUAACCUCACACCCAUACCAACCAAUUAAGAAAUAACCAAUAACUCAUUACUCUGUGUACAAGAGCUAAAUCUGCUUUUUUCACGAACCAUUUAUUAGCUAUAUUUCAAGUUAAUCAGUAAGAAUCUGAAUAUGCUUCAUACUGCAGGCAUAUUUCUGUGAUACCCAGACCAAGUAAGCCGUUAUCAGUUAUUAAGGUUGACAUUUCCUCCAAGGAGCGUGUUGUAACUUCUUCGGGCACAUAAACAGUCUAGGGAGGAUGGUAUUUAUAAGAGUUGCUUAGAUAUCAGAAGAGCUAGAUUCAGGGCUAGAAGCAGCAGCAGCAAUCCAGUCCCACACUGGAAAUCACCUCUAAAAGUGUCUGCCGGGAAGGACUGAAAAGAUUUGACUCCUUAGAGACUGAAGCAGUACAUCAUGCACUCCAAAGCAGUCCCUAAACAAAGGCAGUGGUGAGUGUUGAAUUCCACAAGUCAAAUCUGAAUCCCUUGGAACUGCACUUCCAACUCUUACAUAAAACAUACAGUGUGGAAUCGAAGGGGUCACAUUGGCAUAAAUACCAUCUGCUGGGUCUUGUGCUCAAGAUUGCCAACUUUGAUUGGAAUCAACACCACGACACACACAACGGGGGUGUGAAGUCAUGUUCCUUUCUCUUUCCUGAGCGCCAGAUUGGAAGGAGCAGUGGCAAGCAUGAAUGGACCCGUCUUAAAUGUGUGAUUAGCAUGGUGCUUUUUGUCACAGAAAGCACAGCCCAAGGGAAGUGCGGGUUCACUCAAGCAUUCAAGCCAUCAUAAUGAGGAAGCAGGAAAGGAUGGGGAGGGGAGAGAGAUAAUCAUUCCUUGUCUCUUCUCAACUUAUCUAAGAGAGAAAGAGAGACAGUACACACACAUACAACUUUCAGCUAGCCAUUUGAUCUGUGAUUCAGCUGAAGCAUAUAUUAACAUGGCAUCAGUGUGGAUUUGAAGACUGCAAAGGAUACUUUAUGGAGAAACAAUGUGGGGCAUCCAACAUAUAUCCUCCAAGCCAUUAACUGCCACUUAUUUAAUUCGAGUUAAUGUAACCGAAUAGGGACGCGGGUGGCACUGUGGGUUAAACCACAGAGCCUAGGAUUUGCCGAUCAGAAGGUCAGCAGUUCGAAUCCCCGCGACGGGGUGAGCUCCCAUUGCUCGGUCCCUGCUCCUGCCAACCUGGCAGUUUGAAAGCACCUCAAAGUGCAAGUAGAUCAAUAGUCACCGCUCCGGUGGGAAGGUAAACGGCGUUUCCGUGCGCUGCUCUGGUUUGCCAGAAGCGGCUUAGUCAUGCUGGCCACACGACCCAGAAGCUGUACACCGGCUCCCUUGGCCAAUAAAGAGAGAUGAGCGCCGCAACCCCAGAGUCGGCCACGACUGGACUUAAUGGUCAGGGGUCCCUUUACCUUUAAUGUAACCGAAGAUUUGCCGCUGGUGAAAAGCAACCAUGAAAAAAAGAGGUCUUCAAAAGAUCUGGAUGCCUAUCUGCUCACCAAGGUUUGCUUCCUCACCUGCCAUUUACCAUGGGAUUGAGCAGGUCCAAUUUGACUUUGCAAAGCACUGUACCAGCCAGGAAACCGGGAGAAGCUGGAGGCACUAAAUAAGGAGACCUCUGCAAUCUAGAGUACUCUUCUCCCAACUGUACCCUACCUUGUUUUAUUGAAAGCUGCCUCAUGAUCGUAGAUGUGGAAUAUCUUCUAAGAAGGCCGCUCCACUUCCUUCUGGGACAGUGUUGCAGGCAGGCCACAUGGUCUCCCGUACACAGCGGGGGCAUGGCUAAGCCCCCACAUCAUUGGGGAGUCCCUGCCGCAUCAUGGCGCCCGGCCAACCAAUCCGGUUGCCCGGGGGCGUGGCUUAGUGAAUUUCAGCAGCUGCGUGGCUGAGGGAUCUCCCUUCUUGUUCCGGCUUCCGCAGAUCUGCACGUUUCGCUCCUGCGCUCGUCAAACUUAGGGAGGCUUUAGUGUGUGGUUUGGCUGCAGCUGUGGGAAGCGGGUGGCACUGAGCCUAGGGUUUGCCGAUCAAAAGGUCGACCGUUCGAAUCCCCACGGCUGGGUGAGCUCCCGUUGCUUGGUCCCUGCUCCUGCCAACCUAGCAGUUCGAAAGCACGUCAUCAAAGUGCAAGUAGAUAAAUAGGUACCGCUUCGGUGGGAAGGUAAACGGAGUUUCUGUGCGCUGCUCUGGUUUGCCAGAAGCGGCUUAGUCAUGCUGGCCACAUGACCCGGAAGCUGUACGCCGGCUCCCUCAGCCACUAAAGCAAGAUGAGCACCGCAACCCCAGAGUCAUCCGUGACUGGACCUAAUGGUCAGGGGUCCCUUUACCUUUACCUUGGCUGCAGCUGACUUACUUAAACAGAUGACUGGUGGCUUCCCUACGCGACAGCAAGACUGCAUACCAAAUAAUAGGCUAGAAGCUGUGGUUCUUCAGAAACUUUGCCACAGAGAGUCAACCUCCCAAGGCACCCAUUUCUGAUGAGUUGUGUACAUGCAGUAGUUUAUUACUUGGAUGUUCUAGCAAUGAUUUGAAGUUACCCAUUUUGUCACUCAGCUCUCAGGAUAUUGUUUUUGUACUUUCGUUGCUUUUGACAACAUUGUUAAUUACGCUCCAAUGUGUCCCCAGUUUUGUUUUCCGCUACUUCUUUCUCAGUCCACUUAAUGGACCUAAGAGGCCAUUAGCUUGACUACUGACAGUUUAUGCCACAAUAAUCCACCUUUUAAAAUGUGUCACAGCAUCUUCUGUCUUUUUUUGCUGCUACAGAAUAAUCAGAUCGCUGUUCCAAAAUUCACUGUAUGGAAGGUGUCGAAAGGGGCAGUCUAAGGAAUGUGUUCAAUAGUGUAGACUCUUCGCUUUUGAGGGAUCAAAGGUAGCAUAAUUUACUGGUGUUCAUCCAGACUGGUAUCCUUGUUUUCAUUUUUCAAAGUGACCAGUGCUGCAUUUUUCUGAAAAAGUUUAAGUAUUACACAAAUAAUCUGCACACACAGCAGUUUCUUCCUAACCCACUUAGCUAGUAGUUGGCUUGUGCCCUGAAGCUUUCGUAUGGCUUCCAAAAUUAUAAUGCUGAAGAAGUUGUAGACUCUUGUAACUUAUUUCAUUAUCCUCAUAAAUGACCAGUCUUGGGUGUGUGUGGAAAUGCUGAGUUCUAAGCCUCUAUAAUUCCCCGUGGCUAUGAAAAAUAAUGUGAUUGUUUUGCAGUUUCAUUGAAUGCCCUAAUGCUAUUGUUUCUGAAAACCGAGAAUUCCUAGUUUCACUUUAUCUACAGUGCAUUCUGCAAUCUUGUUCAGAUCUCGUCAGUGGUGUGCACCCCAGAUGUUGUUUGACUACAAUUCCCAUCAUCCCUGACCAUUUGUCAUGCAGUCUGAGGCAGAUGGGAAUAGCUGUCCACAUUACCAGGAGAGCACCUCAUUGGGUACUUCAAUCUUGUUCUUUAGAGCUGCCAGCCCAAACCAAAAACUGAAAUCACAAAAGCAGAAAGUAGCUUUCUGUGCUACUGACUACUAGUCUAGCGUACCACUGGGAUCAAAGAAAGUGAUUGGGGACAAGGUAGUAUUUUUCACCAAGGACUUCUGAACAUUCAGCACUGGAAAUCACCACAUGGGCCAUAUCACCCAAUAUCUACUGGUUCUUGUUCUCCAGAUAGACAAGAAGAUACUUAUUCAAAGGAUGGAUCAUUCCCAUAAGAACAUAGGAAGCUGCCUUAUAUUGACAUAGCUGAUCCAGCUCAGUAAAGUCCUUCAUGCAAAGAAUGUACCCUCACAUUUGGACUAUGGAUAUCAGAAACAUUGGAAUAUUGUGCUUAAUCACCAAGGGACUUCCAGGUGUUGACUUUCUCCAGUUACAGUGCUUUUGCAUAUGGUACAUACCCUGCCUGAUAUCUGAAAGCCAGCUGAACACUCUGCCAGUCCUCCUAUGCUAGUCCAAGAGGCCCUUGUGCUUUGGUGGUCCAACUUACCUGCACAUGAAACAGGUUGUUUAGUAUGGUGGCACCAGUUCUUUGAAACUGCCUCUCAAAAUAUACACCUGAUGCAUAUGAUCUUUCAAUUCCAUCGUAUACUGGAGAAAUUUUUUCUUUCUUUCCUUCGCUGAGGCUCUCCCAGUUUAGUUAAUUUGUCCACAAUUAGGCUAAAGAGUAAACCCUACACAAAUCAGAGCCCCUAAGAUGGUUGGAUGAUGCCUUGUACGCCUCUUUCCAGCAACUCCUGCAGCCAUGCUGAUGCCAAACCUAUUGCUCUGCUUUCCUUUGAACCACAUCAGUGAGGCUGAGAAGCAAGUUUGUGGUCCAGGCAGCACAGGACCUCCAUAUACACUGUCCCGGCUUGCACUUCAACAGCUGGGCUUUGCCCCCACAAGCGUACGCCAUAGUCUCUUGAGACAGAUCCAACAACAAUCUGGUAUUUGCCUUAUUUUGUUUUUAUGACAUAUUACUAUUUUCAUGUUAUAUAUUAUAAUCUUUUUAUGCACCCCGUGAAUGGUUGAAUGGUGAACAGUAUAAAAAUAUUUUUAAAUAACUAAGAUAAAGAUUGGUACAAAUGGCACAGUAGCCUAAACAGCUUUUAAGAAGUUUCUGCUUCACUUUCAGGUUUGGCAUUACCAUGGCAGGUGCAGCCGCCAAGUGGAAAUGUCUUUCAGCAGUCUUCACCACAGACUAGACAAUAUCUUAAGAUGGAAAUAUUGGUUAUGCUCUAUUGCAGUGUAACAAUUCUGGAGGUUUGGUUUGCCCAUGAAAUGGAGUGGGGCUGAGGGAGAGUUUGUUCCCUCAUGAAAGCUGCAGCAUUUUUAAAAAGUGAGUCCCUGGGGCAGAAUGUCUUACAACUAGCAAAAAUAAAUAAAUCCACA